AAAAAAAAAAAGGUUAAAAAAAGGGAAGCAAAUUAGCUUGCAAAGGAAAUCUAAAUCUGAGAAUAGUAUUCCUGCUGUGUAUAUAGUUUUCCUGCUGAUGGAGGCAUUAAAUGCCAGGCUGAUAUCAGUGUGUGGAUUUGGGGAUUCUGAUGACAAAGCUGUUUCUGCCUUCUGGUUUUACCUUCUUGACCCCCGGGGCUUCACCGUGGUCACCUACUUUACCUAUCUCAUAUAUCAAAAUCAUCUGUCGGGAAACAAUCUGUAAAUCUUUCACAACAGGCACAAAUGGAAAAUCUCAUGAAUAUUUAUAUUUUGUCUAGAAUAAAUGCUUUGAGACAAUGAAGUACAAUGGUGAAAUUUCUGCAUGAGUGGGUGUUUCUUUGAUUCAAAAACUUGUUCUGACACUUUGCUAAGCCUGAAGCAUGUAUUUUGCUUCUAUAUCCUCUGUGGACCAGCCUCUUAUUCAUGUCUUCUGCCUACAGCUGUCAAGAAGGCAUGGCUCCUUCAGUGAGAUGUACACAGACAUGCCGAGAUAGAAUGGGAUGAUGCAUCUAGGGCAAACCUGUCUUGGGGCUGUGCCUGCCCCGGAGCACCUCUCUGGUUCCUGGGAUGCUAAGACUUGGUGGAGUUGUGUAAUCAACAGAGGACAGAUUAUGAAUCUAAAGCCAAGCUACCUUCAAAAGUAUGGUUCCAGCAAACCUUUCAUUAUCUCCUUACAUUGCUCAUGCCUCGUGUCUUUCUAAUUCCUAACCAAAAUCUGAUUCAGAACCAAAUUCUUUCUCAUACAUUCAAGAUAUUGCUAUGUUGUUCCACGACUUGGGUACUUCCUGUCAUCUGUCAAAUCCACUCUAAAUUCUCAGAAUGGCACUGAAUUACUCAAGGUGACAUUAAAGAAAUGGGGAACAAAUCUAUUAUUCAUUAGAAGCAUGAUUUGUGUAGUCUUCUGGGACAGUUAGGGGCUUCAAAGUGAUUUCUGCUGAAACCUGUGUCUCUUUACUUAAACCUACAGAAUGCAGUAUGUAACUAAAAGUAGAACAAAGCUUGACCUUCAUUUGAUAAAACUCCAGGUCAUGUCUUUCUCAGAUCUGCAUAGCAUGUUAGUCAUUUCGGAAAUGUCUGUGCAAAAGUUGGUGAAGCAAGUUUUAUUAGGCCUAAACUGAUCCAGUGAACCUCAUCAGUGAUCAACACCGAGAACACCAAGAGGAGAGAUUUAUGGGAACACUCAGCAAUGCGCAGGAAUUUCCACUGACCUAAAUUUAUGGUUGCUUAGUUUCCAACAGAGCCUCACAUGACUCUCAAAUCACGAAUACUCAUCUUAUGGGAACCAAAGUACCUCUCAAGUCAUGGGACCUUGUCUAGGGCUAUGAAAUCAGGACUGAGAUAAUAAUCAGCUGGAAUCUAGCCCACUCCAGCAUCCCAUAAAGCUGGUGUCUGUUCUUUUGUGAACAGGCCACUCUGCUCCACCUCCUCAGAACUGGG
RNAcentral lists this long non-coding RNA (1479 nucleotides) under Cavia porcellus (domestic guinea pig). Its description in RNAcentral is "lncRNA (ENSCPOG00000035358.1)". The record is from RNAcentral. Lineage: Eukaryota; Metazoa; Chordata; Mammalia; Rodentia; Caviidae.